Danio rerio (zebrafish) is the source of this 74-nucleotide non-coding RNA. The record is from Rfam. NCBI's taxonomy places the organism in Eukaryota, Metazoa, Chordata, Actinopteri, Cypriniformes, Danionidae.
GUCUCUGUGGUGCAAUUGGUGAGCCCGUUCGGCUGUUAACUGAAAGGUUGGUGGUUCAAGCCCACCCAGGGACG